AUUGAACGCUGGCGGCAGGCCUAACACAUGCAAGUCGAACGGUAACAGGAAGAAGCUUGCUUCUUUGCUGACGAGUGGCGGACGGGUGAGUAAUGUCUGGGAAACUGCCUGAGGGAGGGGGAUAACUACUGGAAACGGUAGCUAAUACCGCAUAACGUCGCAAGACCAAAAAGGGGGACCUUCGGGCCUCUUGCCAUCGGAUGUGCCCAGAUGGGAUUAGCUAGUAGGUGGGGUAACGGCUCACCUAGGCGACGAUCCCUAGCUGGUCUGAGAGGAUGACCAGCCACACUGGAACUGAGACACGGUCCAGACUCCUACGGGAGGCAGCAGUGGGGAAUAUUGCACAAUGGGCGCAAGCCUGAUGCAGCCAUGCCGCGUGUAUGAAGAAGGCCUUCGGGUUGUAAAGUACUUUCAGCGGGGAGGAAGGGAGUAAAGUUAAUACCUUUGCUCAUUGACGUUACCCGCAGAAGAAGCACCGGCUAACUCCGUG
This 490-nucleotide ribosomal RNA is filed under the name uncultured bacterium. RNAcentral describes it as "partial 16S ribosomal RNA". It matches the Rfam family "Bacterial small subunit ribosomal RNA", at positions 30 to 507 of the family's 1533-position model. The record is from RNAcentral.